This 396-nucleotide ribosomal RNA is filed under the name uncultured archaeon. Its description in RNAcentral is "bacterial SSU rRNA". It matches the Rfam family "Archaeal small subunit ribosomal RNA", at positions 321 to 722 of the family's 1478-position model. The record is from RNAcentral.
CCCUACGGGGCGCAGCAGUCGCGAAACCUCCACAAUUCACGAAAGUGUGAUGGGGCCAACCCGAGUGCCGUCCGAUAAGGAUGGCUUUUCCUCAGCGUAAGGAACUGGGGGAAUAAGGAGAGGGCAAGACUGGUGUCAGCCGCCGCGGUAAUACCAGCUCUCCGAGUGGUGGGGACGCUUAUUGGGCUUAAAGCAUCCGUAGCCGGUUGGGCAAGUCCUUCGUUAAAUCCAACGAUUCAAUCGUUGGGCUGCGGGGGAUACUGUCUGGCUAGGAGGCGGGAGAGGCCGACGGUAUUUCCGGGGUAGGGGUGAAAUCCUAUAAUCCCGGGAGGACCAUCAGUGGCGAAGGCUGUCGGCUGGAACGCGCUCGACGGUCAGGAAUUGGCGGGGGAGCAC